This 71-nucleotide transfer RNA is filed under the name Thryothorus ludovicianus (Carolina wren). Its description in RNAcentral is "tRNA-Glu". Lineage: Eukaryota; Metazoa; Chordata; Aves; Passeriformes; Certhiidae. The record is from RNAcentral.
GUUUCCAUAGUUAAAAUUUAUAACAACGGCUUUUCGGGCCGUUGUUCCUGGAGAGAGGCCAGGUGGAAAUU